ACUCCUACGGGAGGCAGCAGUGGGGAAUAUUGCACAAUGGGCGCAAGCCUGAUGCAGCCAUGCCGCGUGUGUGAAGAAGGCCUUCGGGUUGAUAAAGCACUUUCAGUCGGUGAGGAAGGUAGUGUAGUUAAUAGCUGCUAUUAUUUGACGUUAGCGACAGAAGAAGCACCGGCUAACUCCGUGCCAGCACCGCGGUAAUACGGAGGGUGCGAGCGUUAAUCGGAAUUACUGGGCGUAAAGCGCAUGCAGGUGGUUUGUUAAGUCAGAUGUGAAAGCCCGGGGCUCAACCUCGGAA
This 295-nucleotide ribosomal RNA is filed under the name uncultured bacterium. Its description in RNAcentral is "partial 16S ribosomal RNA". It matches the Rfam family "Bacterial small subunit ribosomal RNA", at positions 335 to 620 of the family's 1533-position model. The record is from RNAcentral.